RNAcentral lists this unclassified non-coding RNA (250 nucleotides) under plant metagenome. Its description in RNAcentral is "partial contains small subunit ribosomal RNA, internal transcribed spacer 1, and 5.8S ribosomal RNA". The record is from RNAcentral.
GUAGGUGAACCUGCGGAAGGAUCAUUACCAAAUCCAAAUACCCAACCCCAUGUGAACUAUUGUUUGUUGUCCUUGGGGGGUGUGAAGGGUUCUUCUUUUUCAAUUUUUUUGCUUUAGAAAAAAUACGAAAAAAAGUCCUUUUCACCCCCCAAAAGAAUCCGGCACUCCGGUGUUUGUGAUUCUUGAUAAACCACAGAUUUCUAUAUUUUGGAAUGAAAUUUUUAUUAAUCUUAAUAAAAGACAACUUUUA